AUACGAAGGUCCCAAGCGUUAUUCGGAAUCACUGGGCGUAAAGAGUACGUAGGCGGUUUGGUAAGUCAGGUGUGAAAUCCCGAAGCUCAACUUCGGAACUGCAUCCGAUACUGCCAGACUAAAGUAAUGGAGAGGCAGGUGGAAUUCUCGGUGUAGCAGUGAAAUGCGUGGAUAUCGAGAGGAAGACCAAUGGCGAAGGCAGCCUGCUGGACAUUUACUGACGCUGAGGUACGAAGGCUAGGGGAGCGAAAGGGAUUAGAAACCCGAGUAGUCC
RNAcentral lists this ribosomal RNA (274 nucleotides) under uncultured bacterium. RNAcentral's name for it is "partial 16S ribosomal RNA". It matches the Rfam family "Bacterial small subunit ribosomal RNA", at positions 523 to 796 of the family's 1533-position model. The record is from RNAcentral.